RNAcentral lists this ribosomal RNA (718 nucleotides) under Anopheles coluzzii. RNAcentral's name for it is "eukaryotic small subunit ribosomal RNA". It matches the Rfam family "Eukaryotic small subunit ribosomal RNA", at positions 1118 to 1823 of the family's 1831-position model. The record is from RNAcentral. Lineage: Eukaryota; Metazoa; Arthropoda; Insecta; Diptera; Culicidae.
AGUUAGUAACACCAAUAAAGAUAACCCAAUGAAUUAAAAAAAAGAAGUGGAGCUUGCGGCUUAAUGUGACUCAACACGGGAAAACUUACCAGGUCCGAACUUAUUGAGGUAAGACAGAUUGAUAGCUCUUUCUCAAACUUAAGGGUAGUGGUGCAUGGCCGUUCUUAGUUCGUGGAAUGAUUUGUCUGGUUAAUUCCGGUAACGAACGCGACUCAGUCAAGCUAACUAGAACGCUGUCAGUAGUGUGCCUCCGGGCGCACCUGACGUUAGGAGUGGCGGGUGUCCUCACGGGUGCCCGUCACUUAGUUUUCCCUGCUUAGCUUGACAACUUGUGUUUAGCAAGAUGAGAUUGAGCGAUAACAGGUCCGUGAUGCCCUUAGAUGUUGUGGGCUGCGUGUUCUCGCCUUAUGGCGCCCCCAUUCCGAGAGGAACGGGAAAUCACCCAAAUGCUCAUUUAGUAGGGAUUGGGGACUGCAAUGGUCCCCAUGAACCUGGAAUUUCUAGUAAGUGCUAGUCAUUAGCUAGCGCUGAUUACGUCUCUGCCCUUUGUACACACCGCCCGUCGCUACUACCGAUGGAUUAUUUAGUGAGGUCUCUGGAGGCACACCUUCCGCGAUUCCUUCGUGAGUUGCAGUUGGCACGGCCGAAGUUGACCGAACUUGAUGAUUUAGAGGAAGUAAAAGUCGUAACAAGGUUUCCGUAGGUGAACUUGCGGAAG